GAUCCUGGCUCAGGAUGAACGCUGGCGGCGUGCCUAACACAUGCAAGUCGAACGGGGAUUAUUUCAUUGAAGCUUCGGCAGAUUUGAUUUAAUCCUAGUGGCGGACGGGUGAGUAACGCGUGGGUAACCUGCCUUAUACAGGGGGAUAACAGUCAGAAAUGGCUGCUAAUACCGCAUAAGCGCACAGGGCCGCAUGGCCUGGUGUGAAAAACUGAGGUGGUAUAAGAUGGACCCGCGUUGG
RNAcentral lists this ribosomal RNA (241 nucleotides) under uncultured bacterium. RNAcentral describes it as "partial 16S ribosomal RNA". It matches the Rfam family "Bacterial small subunit ribosomal RNA", at positions 15 to 239 of the family's 1533-position model. The record is from RNAcentral.